UGAAUGUAAGGUGACUGACAGGAACAGUGAGGGUCCAGAAUGGGAUGUGAGAAAGUGGAAGAGAGAGAUAGACAGUGCAGUGAAAGGUGACGGUCUGAGGAGGUGGAAGCAUGCGAUGGAGCGAAAGAGUACUUUGGAGUGGUACAGGGAAAAGGAUGCCCCGCAGUGUGUCAGCUGGUAUGAUGGAAGCCUGGGUGGUGAUCUUCUCCUCCAAGCUCGAGCGCAGUAUAUGAAUGUGAAAGCAAGAAACUACAGGUGGUCUGAGUCCCGCAGCAAAGUGUGUCAGAUGUGUGACAGGGGUGUGGAGGAAACUGUCGUGCAUGUGAUACUGGUGUGCGGGAGGUACCGGAGAGAAAGGACGGAGAUGAUGAGGGUGGCACUGAUGGGCUGGGAUGUGAAUGGGAGGAUUGCAAGAACGGAGAGGGAAUGGAUGCUGCUGCUGCUGGGACUGAGUGCUGAAGCAAAUGAGAGAAUUAUAGCAGCCAUGAAGAUUUUUCUGGAAAAGAUGUGGUGUGUAAGAAAUAGGGAAUUGGAAGAUUUGUAAUGGAUACUGCUUGUUUUGUUUUAUUUUUACAGGGUGUGCCGAUAUGAAGGCCUGACUCCCAGCGGGUCACCUGUACAGCUAAUGGUUAAUUAAUGAUGAGAGCAAGAACCAACACGCUAAGUUUAAACUGGAGAAAUGGCUACCAAGGAGAGAGUGAGAGAUGUCCAUAUGAUGACUGACAAGGAAACAUUAGAACAUUUUCUUUUAGAAUGUACAGGUUAUGAAGAUAUAAGAAACAAAUUUAACUUACAGGUAACUUCUCACAACACAGACAAAAUAAUAGCAGAAACACUACUAUUUGGUGAACAAUGAAUCAAAAAUAUACAAGAAAGAAAAGAAUAUAUUAAAACUAUCUGGAAAACAAGACACAGAAAAACACAGGAACUGCAGCACAACUAAAGAAACAGCCUAGUGGGAGCCAUGCCGAGGCUUAUCCCACGCCUACUACUGAACUGAACUGAACUGUACAGCAAGAGCAAGAGCAAGAGCCACAUUUUGACGAUAACAAACCUAAUACUUCCUUAUUUAAACCCUCGGAGACACUUAUAUAAGUAGAAUAUAUGCAGGCGUGGGAGGCGGAGGCGCUGGCGUGGGGGCGGCGAUCCCUUGAAAUAAGGUAAAAUGUCUUCCAUUCUUCCUGUGUCCUGUUCGAGCUCGUUAUUGGAUGAGUGACAUGUUGUAGUAAGAGGCUGUGGCCCCACAGCCUAACUAGCCCCAUAAAACCACCCAAGAAGAAGUGACAUGUUGUGAGACAAAGUGAGAUAGCUCUAAAGUGAGGGGGAGAGGCAGUCACCUCAGCCCCAGUGUGAGGGCCGCACAGGCUGCCCCGUCCCCCUGAGGAAGGCGCAGGUGGGGCGGGCAUACUGGAUCUGGAUACAUGAUGCGCAGGGCAGCCGUACAGGCAGCACUCACUCCCUGAAGAAGGUGCCGGAGAGGGGGGUCGGCUGCCGAGAUGGUCAGGCUCACCGGCAGGGUUGUGGACGCCAUGUCUGAGAAGCAGCCGCAGCCCGGGGUUAGACGUGGAGAAGGUUCAGUCCACCGUCCGCCAGGCUGUGCGUGACUGGUCUCCAUCAGGCACAUUGGAGCGGCCCCGUCACUAGCAAGAGUGACCUCCUCUUCCCCAGGACACUGUGGAGGUACUGUCUGGGUCUCCAUGGUGGCCGGCGUCAUGGUGUGGAGCCUAACACUCUGGGCCUUGCUCAGGAUCGUACAAACUGGCGUGGAGUAGCACCCGAUGAAGCACUCGGGCACUUUUCUACGGGUGGGGCCUGCUGCUCGAGGACACGCCCUAUGACCCGCCCGAGGGAACACACGGCCUGGACAGCGGGGGCCGGGGAAGCAUGGUCCAGUAACACACUCAGUUAAAUUUACGAAAUAUUUUAUGAAAACAAAACGCAAAGUUUAAUAAUGGCACCAAAUUUAUCAUUAACCAACAGCUAGACUGAUGAGUCAACAGUAAACAUUCAAAACUCUCAGUAACUUACGUAAGUCAGACAGCAACUUUAUAUCAAGCAAACUUAACAACUUUUUUUAUAUGCUGCCAAUAGCGCCUGCAAGCUUUCUUGAGAGGCCUCUUGGUCGACCCCAGCCCGUUAGCGGCGCAGGCGAAUUUUUUUUUUAUAGUAGCUGCCGUGAUGUAUGACUCUUGCUUGGUCCAUGCUGCCCCCCGGUGCUCCUCUUGGACGAAAUCACUGAAGUUAGGGUUGAUUGAAGGCCUGGGCAGCAUGUGGGUAAUCAUCAUCCACUCGGCGAUGGCUUGAAAUAUCAGCGCGUUUAGGUGGGACUCGAUCCUAGGUCCACGGGCUCACCACGUACUAGGGUAUUAAUCCAAGGUUGAAUUUCCUGUCACAAACGCAUAAAAAAAAUCAUGCUGUAGAAAUACUUAGUGACUCCUUAAAGUAAACGUUUUCACGGUACUUUUUGUAUUGAUUUCCACACGCUUGUCGUUCCUCGUCUGCCCCGCCAUCCCGAGGGCCAAUGAGGGGCCUCCGUCAAUGCUUCACCUUCCGGCUUCCAGCCAAUCACAAGGUAGUACGCCGUGACGUCAGAACCGAGCCUCCGGUGAGCUUCAUCUGCUGCUGUUUAUAUGGCCAAGGGUGUGCCGUGGGUGUGGGUGUUGGUCGUACGAAGGGUUUUCUGCGCACGAGGAGGCCGAUUCAGGGACGAGAGGUGAGCAACAGGACGUUCUUGGUGACGAGUUGAUUGCAGGCGGCUGUUUUGUGUGUUAUGGCAAGGACGAGAGGUGAGCAAUAUAACAUUCGCGGUGACGUGAGCUGGUGGAGAGUGACUGUUGAUGCGUUAUAAGGAAGCAACGUUCGAAGAAAUAUAUUAUGCACACGAGGAGGCCGCUACGGUGACGAGAGGUGAGGAACAUUCGAGUUGGUGGCGGUUGCUUGCUUUGUGUUAUGAGGCAAGGACGAGAGCUGAGCAGUAAUGUUUUGUGAGGCAGGGAAGAGAUGAGCAACAUGUUCUUAAUAACAAGUUGCUGUCGAUUGGCUGUUGGUAUGUUAUGAGGCAAGGACGAUAGGUGGGCAACAAGCUCUUAGCCCGUAUUGUUAAGCGUAUCAGCACCGCAGUUCGCCUGUUUGAAAAGCCUCUCCUAGAAGGGAUGUUCGUUGGCUGUUUUGUGACGCUGGUGAUAGUUUUACACAACUUCUGCACCUUGAACGGGAAAAAUCACCCUGAAAACCUCGUUAGUCUUCUCCGUGGCCUUGGGAAUGGUCGUAAUGGGAGCCCGAUACCUUAGUUUUACCCGACUUCAUCUCGAACGGGAAAAAGUCACCCUGAAAACCUCGUUAAUCUUCUCCGUGGCCUUGGGAAUGGUCGUAAUGGGAGCCCGAUACCUUAGUUUUACCCGACUACUUCAUCUUGAACGGGAAAAAUCACCCUGAAAACCUCGUUAAUCUCCGUGGCCUUGGGAAUGGUCGUAAUGGGAGCCCGAUACCUUAGUUUUACCCGACUACUUCAUCUUGAACGGGAAAAAUCACCCUGAAAACCUCGUUAAUCUUCUCCGUGGCCUUGGGAAUGGUCGUAAUGGGAGCCCGAUACCUUAGUUUUACCCGACUUCUUCAUCUUGAACGGGAAAAAUCACCCUGAAAACCUCGUUAGUCUUCUCCGUGGCCUUGGGAAUGGUCGUAAUGGGAGCCCGGCAAACAUGUUCUUAUUGUUCAGCGUCUCGGCACCGCAGUUCGCCUGUUUGAAUAGCCUCUCGUAGAAGUCGCUGGGAUAUUCAUGGACUGUUUUGUAAUGUGAUAGUUUUACACGACUUCUGCAUCUUGAACGGGAAAAAUCACCCCUGAAAACUUGGUUAAUCUUUUUCGUGGCAGGGGGCUUCGUGGUGCAGUGGUAAGCACACUCGGCUCACAACCGAGAGAGCCUGGGUUCGAUUCCCGGGCGGAGUGGAAUAAUUUGGGCGGCUUUUCAGAUACCCUACGCCCCUGUCCACCCAGCAGUGAAUGGGUACCAAGUAUAAAUCAGGGGUUGUGUCCCGUCUCCUGGGGUCCGUUCCCUUCUCCUAUAAUCCCUUCCCCUUCUAUCUCUCUCCGGCAUAUGGCCACAUGUUGCGCCGACUAAACAAAACUUUCCAACUGUUCCCUUCUCCUAUAAUUCCUUCCCCUUCUGUCUCUCUCCGGCAUAUGACCACAGAUGUUGCGCCGACUAAACGAAACUUUCCAACUUUCUCCGUGGCCUUGGGAAUGGUCGUAAUGGGCGCCCGAUACUUUUAAUAAUAUAUGGACUUCAGUGACGAGUUGAUGGUGGAUGGCUGUUGAGUGUGUUAUGCCGGCAAACUGAUGCUUUCAGACAUUGAUUAUUGAUUGAUUGUGAUUAUUAUUGAAUAUCUUUUUUGCUUGUUUUCAGUUUUACUUUCCUCUGUUGCCGUUGUCUAUUUACGAUGUGUUUGUUUUCAUUUGACACGGCAAUAAAAAGAAAGAUUAAGGAAGUAAGUAGAAGGGAAAAGGGAAGUAGGGAAAGAAAAAGAAAAAAAAGACCCUGACUCUAACGUCAAAUAAUUGUUCUCUCUCUCUCUCUCUCUCUCUCUCUCUCU
Molecule: long non-coding RNA, 4589 nt
Organism: Eriocheir sinensis (Chinese mitten crab)
Lineage: Eukaryota; Metazoa; Arthropoda; Malacostraca; Decapoda; Varunidae
Exons: 4
Source: RefSeq, a predicted model, not a curated record